GACAGAGGGUGCAAACGUUGUUCGGAAUUACUGGGCGUAAAGCGAGUGUAGGCGGUUCUCAAAGUCGGAUGUGAAAGCCCCGGGCUCAACCCGGGAAGUGCACCCGAUACUGGAGCUAGAGUGUCGGAGAGGUUGGGUGGAAUUCUCGGGUGUAGAGGUGAAAUUCGUAGAUAUCGAGAGGAACACCGGUGGCGAAGGCGGCCAACUGGACGAACACUGACGCUGAGACUCGAAAGCGUGGGGAGCAAACAGG
This 253-nucleotide ribosomal RNA is filed under the name uncultured bacterium. RNAcentral describes it as "partial 16S ribosomal RNA". It matches the Rfam family "Bacterial small subunit ribosomal RNA", at positions 524 to 776 of the family's 1533-position model. The record is from RNAcentral.